This is a long non-coding RNA of Sapajus apella (tufted capuchin), 100 nucleotides long. RefSeq lists it as uncharacterized. The record is from RefSeq and is a predicted model, not a curated record. The transcript has 3 exons. Lineage: Eukaryota; Metazoa; Chordata; Mammalia; Primates; Cebidae.
AAGUUACUAUAAACAAAAAUAAUUCCAGAAGAAUUGAAGAUCUAAAUGUAAAGGGAAACCUUUAAAACUAUUAGAAGAAAAUACAGAAAGGCAAAUGACC